CCUACGGGCGGCAGCAGUGGGGAAUAUUGCACAAUGGGGGAAACCCUGAUGCAGCGACGCCGCGUGAGUGAAGAAGUAAUUCGUUACGUAAAGCUCUAUCAGCAGGGAAGAAACACUGACCUUACGGUCAGCAGACGGUACCUGAGUAAGAAGCCCCGGCUAACUACGUGACAGCAGCCGCGGUAAUACGUAGGGGGCAAGCGUUAUCCGGAUUUACUGGGUGUAAAGGGGGCGUAGACGGUGCGCCAAGUCUGGAGUGAAAUGCCGCAGCUUAACUGCGGAACUGCUUUUGAAACUGGCGAACUAGAGUGAGGGAGGGGUAAGCGGAAUUCCUAGUGUAGCGGUGAAAUGCGUAGAUAUUAGGAGCAACACCGGUGGCGAAGGCGGCUUACUGGACCGUAACUGACGUUGAGGCUCGAAAGCGUGGGGAGCAAACAGGAUUAGAUACCCCUGUAGUC
Molecule: ribosomal RNA, 458 nt
Filed under: uncultured bacterium
Lineage: Bacteria
Description: partial 16S ribosomal RNA
Rfam family: Bacterial small subunit ribosomal RNA
Source: RNAcentral